RNAcentral lists this ribosomal RNA (755 nucleotides) under Comamonas sp. RNAcentral describes it as "bacterial SSU rRNA". It matches the Rfam family "Bacterial small subunit ribosomal RNA", at positions 56 to 808 of the family's 1533-position model. Lineage: Bacteria; Pseudomonadati; Pseudomonadota; Betaproteobacteria; Burkholderiales; Comamonadaceae. The record is from RNAcentral.
UGCAAGUCGAACGGUAACAGGUCUUCGGAUGCUGACGAGUGGCGAACGGGUGAGUAAUACAUCGGAACGUGCCUAGUAGUGGGGGAUAACUACUCGAAAGAGUAGCUAAUACCGCAUGAGAUCUACGGAUGAAAGCAGGGGAUCGCAAGACCUUGUGCUACUAGAGCGGCUGAUGGCAGAUUAGGUAGUUGGUGGGGUAAAGGCUCACCAAGCCAACGAUCUGUAGCUGGUCUGAGAGGACGACCAGCCACACUGGAACUGAGACACGGUCCAGACUCCUACGGGAGGCAGCAGUGGGGAAUUUUGGACAAUGGGCGAAAGCCUGAUCCAGCAAUGCCGCGUGCAGGAUGAAGGCCCUCGGGUUGUAAACUGCUUUUGUACGGAACGAAAAGCUCUGGGCUAAUAUCCCGGAGUCAUGACGGUACCGUAAGAAUAAGCACCGGCUAACUACGUGCCAGCAGCCGCGGUAAUACGUAGGGUGCAAGCGUUAAUCGGAAUUACUGGGCGUAAAGCGUGCGCAGGCGGUUAUGUAAGACAGAGGUGAAAUCCCCGGGCUCAACCUGGGAACUGCCUUUGUGACUGCAUGGCUAGAGUACGGUAGAGGGGGAUGGAAUUCCGCGUGUAGCAGUGAAAUGCGUAGAUAUGCGGAGGAACACCGAUGGCGAAGGCAAUCCCCUGGACCUGUACUGACGCUCAUGCACGAAAGCGUGGGGAGCAAACAGGAUUAGAUACCCUGGUAGUCCACGCCCUAAACG